UACGUAGGGGGCAAGCGUUGUCCGGAUUUAUUGGGCGUAAAGAGCGUGUAGGCGGCCAGGUAGGUCCGUUGUGAAAACUCGAGGCUUAACCUCGAGACGUCGAUGGAAACCAUCUGGCUAGAGUCCGGAAGAGGAGAGUGGAAUUCCUGGUGUAGCGGUGAAAUGCGCAGAUAUCAGGAAGAACACCGAUGGCGAAGGCAGGUCUCUGGGCCACUACUGACGCUGAGAAGCGAAAGCAUGGGGAGCGAACAGG
This 253-nucleotide ribosomal RNA is filed under the name uncultured bacterium. RNAcentral describes it as "partial 16S ribosomal RNA". It matches the Rfam family "Bacterial small subunit ribosomal RNA", at positions 524 to 776 of the family's 1533-position model. The record is from RNAcentral.